UACGAAGGGGGCUAGCGUUGCUCGGAAUCACUGGGCGUAAAGGGUGCGUAGGCGGGUCUUUAAGUCAGGGGUGAAAUCCUGGAGCUCAACUCCAGAACUGCCUUUGAUACUGAAGAUCUUGAGUUCGGGAGAGGUGAGUGGAACUGCGAGUGUAGAGGUGAAAUUCGUAGAUAUCUGGAGGAACACCGGUGGCGAAGGCGACAUCCUGGACCGGUAUUGACGCUGAGGCGCGAAAGCCAGGGGAGCAAACGGG
Molecule: ribosomal RNA, 253 nt
Filed under: uncultured bacterium
Lineage: Bacteria
Description: partial 16S ribosomal RNA
Rfam family: Bacterial small subunit ribosomal RNA
Source: RNAcentral